Molecule: long non-coding RNA, 342 nt
Filed under: Brassica napus (rape)
Lineage: Eukaryota; Viridiplantae; Streptophyta; Magnoliopsida; Brassicales; Brassicaceae
Description: long non-coding RNA (BNAP_LNC025914)
Source: RNAcentral
UUUUUCUUAAUUAACAAAAAUAUAUGGUGCAAAAAAAACAAAAAAAAAAACUAAACAACAUUAAAUUAGAUACGUACAUGAAAGAAACAGAUUGAAAAUUCGUUAUAUGUAGCUAAUAUAUAGUGACACUGACACAGUGACACCAAUCUUCUUAAAGAAAAAAAAGAGGUGGAAGAAUUCACAAAAUCGUCCGUCCAGAUUUGUUUAUCGACAAAAGGUUAUCAGAAAAUGAUGGGCACAUGUUCAAAUUCCUCGUGGAAGCUAAGUUUUAAUCAUAUCGGAUCGAAAUGGAGUGAAACCAAAGUAUAUAGACAUGAACUGAGACCAAAGCACACUGCCCUC